Ictidomys tridecemlineatus (thirteen-lined ground squirrel) is the source of this 5350-nucleotide non-coding RNA. The record is from RefSeq and is a predicted model, not a curated record. Lineage: Eukaryota; Metazoa; Chordata; Mammalia; Rodentia; Sciuridae.
AGGCCAGAGGAGGCUACUCCCUCUGCCUGGAGCUGAAGCUUGCAUUGGUUUCCUAAGUCGGCUGCAGAAUUGCCUGCAGAGGGCACAAGCCAGUAACAGGCUGCAUUAGUGGCCCUGCGGGGACGAGCCACCCGCCCUGCCCAGGGAGGCACAGACCUGGUUCCACUGCACGACAGCCACCCAGAGUGGGCACCUCUACCUGUACCUCUGAAGCCACGUGGAGCAUGGAAGAGUUGUAGCCAUGCCCCAGCCUGCAGAGUCCACGGGAACUCACGGAGGCUGGUGUGGUCCUGGCUGUGUCCUUGGUGAUGGCUGGGAUGUGGACAGUGUUCUGGCAUGAGGAGACCUCCUUCCCUGCUGGAGCCCCCUUCACCAGCUCUCGAAUGUUCCCACCUCUCUCACCUGCCAGGAGCAACCUGCUAGGGAUUGGCAGGGAUCCAGGAGUGCUGCGUGAAGGGCCCAGGCCUGUGGCUGUGACGAGAAGGAUUCUCAGGGCCCCUGCCAGCUUCCAGAGGCGUCUCCCUCCUGGAAUCGGGAGGCAAGAUAGGAGGAGGCUGAAGUCUGACUAUCAAGAAUCUGACGGGAUGGCAGCUGGGACCACGGACACGCAGCUCAGGUCCUCCUUUCCUGAUGCCUUGUUGGUGAAGAUGGUCCAGGCUGUGCGAGGGGGUCUGCUCUCCUCACGGCUUCCUGUGCUGCCGGUUCACUCUCCACCCAUCCACCUUCCACAUGCCGAGCUUUUGUAGCCAAUUCUGAGGAUACGAAGGUGCACCUGCUGUAACAUCACGUGUGCCGUCGGAUCAAAUCACAGAGAAUGGGCAGCACAGGACGGGAGGACCAUUGCAGAAUCAAGGACACCAGGGUGGUCACACUGUAGAGUCCAGUUUUAUUACAGAAAUGGAAGACAAGUUUUGGUGCUUUGAAGACUCAGCUCAUUUCUAAGUAAAAGACACAUCAAUGUGAGUUUUGCAAUCCAUUCUUCUAAGAAUAUUCAACCAAAUUUUGAUUUUUAAGAAUUUUCAGUUUGAGGGAUAAUUAAAUGAUAUUUUGAAGAAAUGUCCUUCCAAGUAAACCAACUGUAUCUGGCAUUAAGUAAUAAAUGCAUUCUGUCUUUUUCAAGAGAAGGGUCAACGUGUGUCGAUUAGCUCUUUCCUGAGUGAAGUGUGUCCUCGCAGAGGCUACGUGGGACCUCGUUGGCUGCUGCAUGGUUUGCAAUGACACCAUGUGUGUGUGCCACUCUGCCCGCGGGAGACAGCCACUGCCCUUCCUAAUGCAGAUGUUCUUACAGUAAACAAGUGCAUUCCAGAUUCGAGGUUUCAGAGAUGUGAAGUCAGGGCCAAGGACCUCCUAGGCCACUCGUAGGCCACUGUGGUGGCUUCUUGCCCAGCAGUGCCAUCGUUUCUACAUUUCAACAUGUUUGGGUCAGGGUAGGUCAACAGGGAGCUCUGACAGACAGCCGGCCUCCUUCUGGAGCCCAGAGGUGGGCGGGGCUGGCGCCCACUCCACUGAGAUGCUGGAUGGCAGAGGAACAGGUGGGUGACGUGCUCAGCUAGUCAGUUGUGCUGUGAGUGUCACCAACCUCAGAGCAGGCUUGUUUUUGUUCCCAGAGCUGCAGGAGCAGAGUUCCACACUGGGAGGCUCAGACAACAGAGGACUGGAAGCCCAGGGUCACGGUGCUAGCCAGGUCAGUCUCCUCUGGGUGCCUCUCCUGGGCCGGUAGGGCCGGCUGCUGGCUGAACCCUCCUGUUGUCUGUCUUCUGUGGUUUUUCUGUGUCCAAAUCUCUUCCUUUAAGGAAAACAGUGAUAGUGAUUUGGGUCCACUCUCUUGAUCUCUGUAAAGACCCGAUUUCCAAACACAGUCACUUUCUGAGACCCUGGAGGUUCAGACCACCGUGAAAUUGCUGGGGCACAAUUCAGACCAUGGCAAAGGUCAGCAGUGAAGGUCUGUAGAAUGGUAAAGUCCGCAGCAGAAAACUGCCCACGCCAUCCAACACCCCAAUUCACAGAUGGACAGCUGAGGCUCAGAGGCCGCAUGUUCAACCCAGUUACAUAUUAAUUUGUAUCUGAAAUUAGGCCACAAAAACCUGGUCUUCUUUGAGAAGCAUUUAAAGCAUCAAAUAAUUUAUAACAACUUUGAUCAGCUUUUGACAUUCUCUUUUUCUUCAAAUGCACUUAAAUCAUGUAUGGCUGCUUCUCCACUUUAAAACCCGUUAGUUUUUUUUUUUUUUAAAGUUAAAUGGAUGGUGGUGUCUGCUUGCUCCAUUUUACCUAGUUUUAUGUCCCAGUGAUUCACUGACUUGCGGAUCAUCCCGCCCUAAUGAUGGUGCCAGUUUUCUGGUGUGGAGAUUCGAGCACCCAAAAGAGCACCCAGUGUGGGCCCAGCCACAGGGAGCGUGGGGCUGAGGAGCCUGGGCUGGGCAGGCGGGUUGACCUCCUUGGCCUCGGAGUCCCCUAUGAAGUGGGAGGAUGAAGGUCCACGAGCCUGUGAGAGGCCAUUGAGUCAAAGCGCCACCUGACACGGAUCACACAGUCACCAGGGUCACUGUGCGCUUGCCACCUGCAUAUCCCACACUGAGGUCCCCCCACCCCGGCCCUGCUGCUCCUUGUGGAGAACGGGCUCAGGCCGCUGGAUGGCUUCUCACCCCUCAGCCCCAGACAAUGCUGCCAUUGGAACGUCCUGGCCUUAGUCAAUGGGGCUUUGUUCAUUGGGGUUUAAACUAUCCUCAGUUUUCCUCUAAGGACUUUCCCUGUGCACUAGGAACUGAGCGGACUCGGAGUUCCACCUCGACACCCCAGGCUCCUGGCUGGACCCAGCUGUGUGUCUGCAGGAGAGGGGUCCACAGACCCUGAGCAGUGCCAUGUUGUCACUCGGGCUCCUGACCUCGGAGGGGUCGCAGGAGCUUAGUUUCUUCACCAACUACCAUGGCCAUUCGUCCUUUCCAUACUCUCAUCUCUAGAAAUAACAUUUUGCAUAGCUUGUAUCACAUUUAAUUAUCUUCAUUCACGUUUCUAUUUCCUCUUCUAAAGUAUGAGCUUCCCCAGGGCUAUGGCCAUGUCUUAGUUGCCUGUUCCUAGCACUAAAUAGGCACCAGAUAUAUAGUAGGUGCUCAAAAGAACUACCCAAGACUAGUGCAUGGGUAGAUGUGGUCCUGCCUAUUAAUUACAGUCUUGCAGUAGACUUCUAGGAUUGGCUUUUGCUGUCCCAUAAGGAGACUCUGAUGUGGACAGCCUCACUGGACAUGUCGACCCGACGUCUUGUUGCCCAGGGAUUAGUUGACACCUGGUUCUGGAGACGAACCUCAGAAGUGAAUCUAGGCAGCAGGCGUCACUUGGGCAGAGGCUCAGAGGAGCAGAUGCUCUGUUUCAGUGCUCAGCCAAGGGCCAGAAGCAAGUCACCUGGCCUCCUGGGGAGCGGGAGCAUCAGCCGGUAAAGCGACUACUUGAGGUCACCGUGCAACCUUCCCUGGAUGUUCAAAUGGCAGUCAUGGAGGCAGAGACUGGAUUGGUCCCAGUUUCCUCCAUGUUGCAGAGGUAAGGAUUGUGACGCAGACCUUGGUGUAAUGUUGGGGACAGCACUGGGGGACUCCUCUUUCUCAGAGCAAGGAGCUGGGCUCAGCAGCACCCUGUCCUGCCCGUGACCAGGGAUGGCCUUGCUGUGGCAGAGACCCAUGUGGGGGCAUGGGUGACGGUGUCCCACUCACAUGUCUCUAAGACCAGAGAUGGCAGGGUAGCCUUCCUAGUUGGGGAUUUCUGGUUCCACGACAGAGCAAAGAAGUGGCCCCGGAUACAGGAGGUGGCUGAUGUCACCACCCCAAACCAUAUUACAUCCCUCCACCGAUGACAAAUUGCUUUGUUCCUUGAGAGAGAGAAGCAGUCUGUAAAGGAGACUGUCAUAACAUGUGCUCUCUACUUCCUAAGCUUAUUGGAGGCCUGACCCCGAAUCCUUGAGAUGCUCCUCAUUGAACCUCUUCUCAUUACUUGGUGAAGGAGUCAGAAUUAGUAAUGGGGACACCCCCCUUUGCGGGCCCACUUUCAAUUACCAGAAGAUUUAGAGGACUCGGGGGGGUCUGCUCAUCUCUGCUGCCCUGCGACCUCUGACUCUGAUUCUUUUAUCUCUCUCUGGACGUCCCCCAUCCCGGCAGGCCACACUGCGCUGGCUAAAUAAACCCUGCAAAUCUAGCUUUUGUGUCCCGCUAAUCCUUUUAUUUCCUAAAUCUGAUUUAAUCCGAAAGGCUUCCUUUCAUCUCCCCAACUGUCCACUGGGUCACUCUGCAUCCUAUAAGCAGUCCUUGCAAACCCCAGAGUGACCUGCAAAGCUUCCCAGUGUCUCCCUGAUUCUCAUUAGCGCCUGGGCAGACGAGGUAACACCUGCCAAGUGGCAUCUUAGAGAAAGGCCCCUUGGAGCCAUGGCGGCCACUGUGCCCAGUGAAAGUCAAGACCUGCACAUCCUGGCUCAGGAGGAUGCCCGUCUGCCUGCAGCAAUACCAGCCCUCUCCCCUGACAUGCCCAGGGCUGUGGAGAGAGGAAGAAAGGCUGAGAUUCUGACCUCUAAAACCCUGGACCACCGGCUGAGAACAAAGUUGAGUUGCGUUCAGGGAAACAGAAGGCCCAAUUCAUGCUAAAUAAAUUUUAUAUAGUUUGACUUAAGUGAAGAUGAGCCUUGGGUUUGGGGGAGGGAUCCUAGUAAUGAAGACAAUUUCACUGCCGAGAGAGUGGCCAUACAGCAAAUCCCGAUAUUAUCUAAGAUGGACAUUUCUAUUUCAAGUUCUUCUAAAUUCCCAGUCGUUACAUUUAUAACUUGCAUCAUGAAAACCUGAUAUCAAACUGCAAAUCACUGAUAUCAAACUUGAUAUCAGUGAUUUGCAGUUGUACCCGGGAUGCCUCUGUCCUGAGCGCUCCUGCUCCUUCCUGGUAGACUCGCACUCCUGGGCGUGUUCCUGCCUUGUCUGGACUGACUAGUUCCGAGAGGAGCUGAGGGCGUCCUGCCCACCUAAACUGCAGCUUCCGUGUGCCUUAGGAGGCUGCACAGGGUGCCAUCACAAGGACAGCGCCCUUGCCAUGAGCUUGACAAUUAGCGUGGAACUGCUCCAGGGCCGGUGUGGUCAGCAGCUGGAUUCUCACUUGAUUAGUCAGUAUGGGGACAGGUCUCAAGAAAAACGCUCUUGCAAGAAAAGCCCGUGGGGUGGAGAGGAGAAGGAAGUGUGGAGGCAGGUGGGCCCAGGAGGCCUGGCUCUCCCUAAGCUCUCCCCGUGGGUGGCCAGUUUCACUGCUGUCUGCCAUCUGGCUGCCCCUGGCUCUAAUCCCACCUGCACAGGCAAUCUCCAGACCCCCAUUCUCUCCACAUCCCUCG